GAUCUGGCUCAGACUCAGUCGUAACAGGUAACCGUAGAGUUUGAUCCUGGGUCAGAACUCAAGACGUAACGGGGGGUAACCUACCCAUUGAAGGGGGAUAACACUUGGAAACAGGUGCUAAUACCGCAUAACAGUUUAUGCCGCAUGGCAUAAGAGUGAAAGGCGCUUUCGGGUGUCGCUGAUGGAUGGACCCGCGGUGCAUUAGCUAGUUGGUGAGGUAACGGCUCACCAAGGCCACGAUGCAUACCCGACCUGAGAGGGUGAUCGGCCACACUGGGACUGAGACACGGCCCAGACUCCUACGGGAGGCAGCAGUAGGGAAUCUUCGGCAAUGGACGAAAGUCUGACCGAGCAACGCCGCGUGAGUGAAGAAGGUUUUCGGAUCGUAAAACUCUGUUGUUAGAGAAGAACAAGGACGUUAGUAACUGAACGUCCCCUGACGGUAUCUAACCAGAAAGCCACGGCUAACUACGUGCCAGCAGCCGCGGUAAUACGUAGGUGGCAAGCGUUGUCCGGAUUUAUUGGGCGUAAAGCGAGCGCAGGCGGUUUCUUAAGUCUGAUGUGACAGCCCCCGGCUCAACCGGGGAGGGUCAUUGGAAACUGGGAGACUUAGAGUGCAGAAGAGGAGAGUGUAAUUCCAUGUGUAGCGGAGAAAUGCGUAGAUAUAUGGAGGAACACCAGUGGCGAAAGCGGCUCUCUGGUCUGUAACUGACGCUGACGCUCGAAA
Molecule: ribosomal RNA, 727 nt
Filed under: Enterococcus faecalis
Lineage: Bacteria; Bacillati; Bacillota; Bacilli; Lactobacillales; Enterococcaceae
Description: bacterial SSU rRNA
Rfam family: Bacterial small subunit ribosomal RNA
Source: RNAcentral